This is a long non-coding RNA of Astatotilapia calliptera (eastern happy), 798 nucleotides long. The record is from Ensembl. NCBI's taxonomy places the organism in Eukaryota, Metazoa, Chordata, Actinopteri, Cichliformes, Cichlidae.
CCACCAUCGGGAGAAAUGAACGGUCAUCAACACAAUCCUCUGAGCGCUCAUCAUGUGAUCUUUCUAAAUGUCCACGGAAACAGUUGACUGAAGUUUGACAGCUCUUCUGCCAGUUUUAAUUUGGAAAAACGUACCCAGAGGAAGCAGUGCUGGAUACUUGCCUGGAUUACUGAGUCUUUUUCUGUGGCAAUAGAAUAGAUCUAUUGCACAUGACCACAUUUGAAGCCAGUCCUGAUUCGUGAGUCAGAAGAGGAGAGGCUGGGCUGAUGGUAAGCUCUCUUACAAACUAUCUAACCUUCUCUAUUGCUCUCAUCCUCACUCUGUCGUUUCAUGUUGAUAAACCCAAAGAGCUGUGUUCAGCACAAACUGACAUUUAAAAGCCGAGCACUUGGAGUGGCCCUCUAUAUUACAGGAUGUAGCCUUCUCAUGAAAUGAGAAGCAAAGUGGGGAGGCCGCUGUGGAUCGUGGAGCACCUUACUCAGUUGAGAAAUAGAUUGUAGUCACUCUCCAUUUAGAUCUUCAUUUAUGUUUAUUUUACGUUUAGUUUGUUGUGGUCUCUUUGUUAGCAUCUGAACAUUCUCAGUUACGUUGAUUAUUUAGUUCUGUAAGGAACACUUUCUGAAAUGUAAUAAUUCAAUGAUUUUAUACAUAAGGGCAAAAAUAAAGAAUGGACAUUAUCUGCACAUGUGCAGUAUAUCAGAUAUGAGCAUUUCAGAAACUGUACUUGUUUAUUUCGUAGAUUUUAUGUUUUUGCUUUUCUGGGUUGACACAGUCAUGACACGAAACACGCAGUAUAGC